RNAcentral lists this long non-coding RNA (1027 nucleotides) under Brachypodium distachyon (stiff brome). Its description in RNAcentral is "long non-coding RNA (BDIS_LNC000091)". The record is from RNAcentral. Lineage: Eukaryota; Viridiplantae; Streptophyta; Magnoliopsida; Poales; Poaceae.
GUAAGACUCUACACAGCGCUGGAGCAACAAUUUUAUAAUGCUCAUGCUGGAUGCAAACAUGCGCGGGGGUGGAUAUAUAAACGCGCUUUGUAUCUCGCUACCUGCAGGUUCUAACUUGAGUAACUUAACAACUUUAUAUAUAUAGGGGGGAAAAAUGACACCGGACACGAUCAGAUCAGACGGAGAAGCUAGCUAGCUAGGAGCAAAAACCUCUUUCCCCCUUUCCAAAGUAGGCACUGCAAUGGCAUGGGUAGGAGGCUAACUUCACGUUGCAAGCGAAGCAAGAAACUAGGCUGCCAGGCGCCGCCGGUAGGCCAGCACCAUGACGAACUGCUUGGCCGGAGCGCCCACCGGAACCUGGAUCUCAUGCUUCGGCUGGCGGCUCAGCCACAGCUCCAGUAGGUCCUUCAGCGUCAUCAAGGGGCAUAUUGGCAUGCCAUGGCAUAAGAUCUCCACAUGCACCCGCAGACGAUUACGGGGAUCAGACGAAAAGAAAGCAGAUUCAGCAUCGUCCAUACAUAUAUACAUAGAAUGGAUCAAAAUGGAAGUGUAAAAGUUUCAAAAAAAUAAAUGGAAGUGCAAAGACAUAUAAAAGCCUCCCCUCAUCAUCACUUGCUAGCUCAAGUUUUUGCAUAAUGUACCUCUGGAUUGAGAAAACCUGCAAGGUUCCAUCUCUGAAACAAGCAGAAAAAUACUAUUAAGUAAAAAAAAAAAGGGCAGCCCGGUGCAUGUAGCUCCCGCUUGCGCAGGGUCCGAUCACUUUGGGUCUUUUGUACGCAGCCUUUCCCUGCAUUUCUGCAAGAGGCUGUUGAAAUAGUGUACUAAAUAGUAAAUUCUUCAAGUGCACGUUACAAGAUCAGGAAAGAAAAAUGAACUGCUGGUGUGAAUGGCAAAAAGUUAAAACACAUGGGAUUUUCAGAUAAAACUUCUUUUCCAUUCCUGACAAUCUUUCUAAAUUGGAUGUUUCUGUUGGUACUUCCCCUUAAUUGAAAAAAAGAAAAAGGCACUCCAGCUAAUAGCUCUGCAC